RNAcentral lists this ribosomal RNA (1470 nucleotides) under Gunnellichthys monostigma (onespot wormfish). RNAcentral describes it as "partial 16S ribosomal RNA". It matches the Rfam family "Bacterial large subunit ribosomal RNA", at positions 160 to 2574 of the family's 2925-position model. The record is from RNAcentral. Lineage: Eukaryota; Metazoa; Chordata; Actinopteri; Gobiiformes; Gobiidae.
ACCUUAACAGCUAGCCCACCCUCAUGAGUUCAACAAACAACAUUAACUAAACCCAAAAUCACUAGUUGUGAAUCACUAAACCAUUCUCCCCCCAUAGUAUUGGAGAAAGAACGGGAACUUGGCGCCAUAGAAAAGUACCGCAAGGGAAAGCUGAAAGAGUGAUGAAACAGACCAGUGAAGGACUUUAUAAAGCAGAGAUUAAAUCUCGUACCUUUUGCAUCAUGAUCUAGCCAGUCAAAUUCGAGCGAAGUGAACUGUAGUUUGAAACCCCGAAACUGAGCGAGCUACCCCGAGGCAGCCUACUGAAGGGCUAACCCGUCUCUGUGGCAAAAGAGUGGGGCGACCUCCGGGUAGGGGUGACAGACCUACCGAGCCCAGUAAUAGCUGGUUUCCUGGGAGCCGAAUAGAAGUUCAGCCUUGUUAUUUCUCACACCAAAUUUGGUCAGACCUAUUACCGGCCCGAGAACAUCACAAGAGUUAUUCCGACGGGGUACAGCCCGUCCGAAAGUGGAUACAACCUUAAUAGUGGGUUAAAGAUCAAAAGUUUUUAAGGAAAAGCACCCAGGUGGGCCUAAAAGCAGCCAUCCUACUAGAAAGCGUUAAAGCUCAAGUGCUAAGCCCCAUUAAUUUCAACAAUACAAUCUUAUACCCCUUGAUUUACCAGGACCCCCUGCCCCCGCAGAGAAGAUUCUGCUAGUAUGAGUAAUAAGAGGGUUAGACCCUCUCGAUCACGCCCGUGUACAUCAGAUCGAACCCCCACUGAAAAUUAACGCCCCCAGACACAGAGGGAAUAGGAUUACUUCUGAUAAGAGCUAGCAAAGCCCCCCCCCCCCGAGCGUUGAUCCCACACAGGUGCGUGCCUCGAAAGACACAAAGUGGAAGAAGGAACUCGGCAAACCAAAGCCUCGCCUGUUUACCAAAAACAUCGCCUCUUGCAACCGCAGUAUAAGAGGUCCCGCCUGCCCUGGACGAAAGUUUAACGGCCGCGGUAUUUUGACCGUGCGAAGGUAGCGUAAUCACUUGUCUUUUAAAUAGAGACCUGUAUGAAUGGCACGACGAGGGCUUAGCUGUCUCCUUCCCCCAGUCAAUGAAAUUGAUCUGCCCGUGCAGAAGCGGGCAUGAUCCCAUAAGACGAGAAGACCCUAUGGAGCUUAAGGCACAAGGCAGCCCACGUUAAGAACCCCCUGCAAUGAGGAAAAAACUGAGUGGAGGCUACUGUAUGCCUUUGGUUGGGGCGACCGCGGGGUACCACCAAACCCCCACGUGGACACGGGGACCACCCCUAAAGCCAGAGCCACACCUCUAACUAUCAGAAAUUCUGACCAUACGGAUCCGGCAAAGCCGAUCAACGGACCCAGUUACCCUAGGGAUAACAGCGCAAUCCCCUCCUAGAGCCCCUAUCGACGAGAGGGUUUACGACCUCGAUGUUGGAUCAGGACUUCCUAAUGGUGCAGCCGCUAUUAAGGGUUC